RNAcentral lists this ribosomal RNA (471 nucleotides) under uncultured Thiobacillus sp. Its description in RNAcentral is "bacterial SSU rRNA". It matches the Rfam family "Bacterial small subunit ribosomal RNA", at positions 906 to 1382 of the family's 1533-position model. The record is from RNAcentral. Lineage: Bacteria; Pseudomonadati; Pseudomonadota; Betaproteobacteria; Nitrosomonadales; Thiobacillaceae.
CGGAAAUUGACGGGGACCGCACAAGCGGUGGAUGAUGUGGAUUAAUUCGAUGCAACGCGAAGAACCUUACUACCCUUGACAUGUCCGGAACUUGCCAGAGAUGGCUUGGUGCCGAAAGGGAAUCGGAACACAGGUGCUGCAUGGCUGUCGUCAGCUCGUGUCGUGAGAUGUUGGGUUAAGUCCCGCAACGAGCGCAACCCUUAUCAUUAGUUGCUACGCAAGGGCACUCUAAUGAGACUGCCGGUGACAAACCGGAGGAAGGUGGGGAUGACGUCAAGUCCUCAUGGCCCUUAUGGGUAGGGCUUCACACGUCAUACAAUGGUCGGUACAGAGGGUUGCCAGGCCGCGAGGCGGAGCCAAUCCCACAAAGCCGAUCGUAGUCCGGAUUGUUCUCUGCAACUCGAGAGCAUGAAGUCGGAAUCGCUAGUAAUCGCAGGUCAGCAUACUGCGGUGAAUACGUUCCCGGGUCUU